GUUUUGGGGACGGGGGCUGGUGAGGCUCACGUUGGAGGGCUUCGCGUCUGCUUCGGAGACCGUAAGGGAAGGGAGUGAACAGGCACCACUAAUGAGCGAAGAUGAACUGAUUAACAUAAUAGAUGGUGUUUUGAGAGAUGAUGACAAGAACAAUGAUGGAUACAUUGACUAUGCUGAAUUUGCAAAAUCACUGCAGUAGAUGUUAUUUGGCCAUCUCCUGGUUAUAUACAAAUGUGACCCGUCAUAAUGUGAUUGAACACUUUCGUAAUGCAAAAUAACUCAUUUCCAACUACUGCUGCAGCAUUUUGGUAAAAACCUGUAGCGAUUCGUUACACUGGGGUGAGAAGAGAUAAGAGAAAUAAAAGAGAAGAGAAAUGGGACAUCUAAUAGUCCCUAAGUGCUAUUAAAUACCUUAUUGGACAAGGGCUUGCUUCAAGCAUCUGUAUUAGUCUGUUUUAAUGCUGCUGAUAAAGACGUACCCGAGACUGGGUAGAAAAAGAGGUUUACUUGGACUUACAGUUCCACAUGGCUGGGGAGGCCUCGGAAUCAUGGUGGGAGGUGAAAGGCACUUCUUACAUGGCAGCAAGAGAAAAUGAGGAAGAAGCAAAAGUGGAAACCCCUGAUAAACCAUCAGAUCUUGUGAAACUUAUUCACUAUCACAAGAAUAGCAUGGGAAAGACUGGCCCCCAUGAUUCAAUUACCUCCCCUUGGGUCCCUCCCACAACACGUGGCAAUUCUGGUAGAUACAAUUUCAAGUUGAGAUUUGGGUGGGGACACAGCCAAACCAUAUCAUUCUACCCCUGGCCC
This 807-nucleotide small RNA is filed under the name Pan troglodytes (chimpanzee). RNAcentral describes it as "processed transcript". The record is from RNAcentral. Lineage: Eukaryota; Metazoa; Chordata; Mammalia; Primates; Hominidae.